AAUAGAUACCCAGGUAGUCCACGCCGUAAACGAUGAGUGCUAAGUGUUAGAGGGUUUCCGCCCUUUAGUGCUGCAGCAAACGCAUUAAGCACUCCGCCUGGGGAGUACGGUCGCAAGACUGAAACUCAAAGGAAUUGACGGGGGCCCGCACAAGCGGUGGAGCAUGUGGUUUAAUUCGAAGCAACGCGAAGAACCUUACCAGGUCUUGACAUCCUUCGCUACUUCUAGAGAUAGAAGGUUCCCCUUCGGGGGACGGAGUGACAGGUGGUGCAUGGUUGUCGUCAGCUCGUGUCGUGAGAUGUUGGGUUAAGUCCCGCAACGAGCGCAACCCUUGACCUUAGUUGCCAGCAUUUAGUUGGGCACUCUAAGGUGACUGCCGGUGACAAACCGGAGGAAGGUGGGGAUGACGUCAAAUCAUCAUGCCCCUUAUGACCUGGGCUACACACGUGCUACAAUGGAUGGUACAAAGGGCUGCAAGACUGCGAAGUCAAGCCAAUCCCAUAAAACCAUUCUCAGUUCGGAUUGCAGGCUG
RNAcentral lists this ribosomal RNA (532 nucleotides) under uncultured bacterium. Its description in RNAcentral is "bacterial SSU rRNA". It matches the Rfam family "Bacterial small subunit ribosomal RNA", at positions 777 to 1307 of the family's 1533-position model. The record is from RNAcentral.